UACGAAGGGGGCUAGCGUUGCUCGGAAUCACUGGGCGUAAAGGGCGCGUAGGCGGAUCUUUAAGUCGGGGGUGAAAGCCCAGGGCUCAACCCUGGAAUUGCCUUCGAUACUGAAGAUCUCGAGACCGGAAGAGGUUAGUGGAACUGCGAGUGUAGAGGUGAAAUUCGUAGAUAUUCGCAAGAACACCAGUGGCGAAGGCGGCCAACUGGUCCGAUACUGACGCUGAGGCGCGAAAGCGUGGGGAGCAAACAGG
RNAcentral lists this ribosomal RNA (253 nucleotides) under uncultured bacterium. RNAcentral's name for it is "partial 16S ribosomal RNA". It matches the Rfam family "Bacterial small subunit ribosomal RNA", at positions 524 to 776 of the family's 1533-position model. The record is from RNAcentral.